AAUCCCCCUUUUGAACAGUGAAUAAGAAGACUAUUUAUAAGGGUAAACCGGAAAGGAAAAAAGGGUCUGGAUCGAUGUGGGAGAAUCCCAAAUUCAAAAGCUAUCAUCGUACCAAUUGCCAAAAAAAAUGAAGAGGACCGCUUGAUUAAAAGAGCAAAGGACGAAGGAGGAAUUGUGAUGCAAACACCUGGAUUUUCUCCAAUGGUCUGGUACGACUACGAAUGGAUUAGGACAGACGCGAAGCCACACACGUGAUUUGGAUGCUCAUGAUUGUAGCGUUUCUGAG
This 286-nucleotide unclassified non-coding RNA is filed under the name Hevea brasiliensis (rubber tree). Lineage: Eukaryota; Viridiplantae; Streptophyta; Magnoliopsida; Malpighiales; Euphorbiaceae. The record is from RNAcentral.